AGUGAACGCUGGCGGUAGGCCUAACACAUGCAAGUCGAACGGCAGCACAUUAAGAGCUUGCUCUUACGGGUGGCGAGUGGCGGACGGGUGAGGAAUACAUCGGAAUCUACUUUUUCGUGGGGAUUGCGUAGGGAAACCUACGCUUAUACCGCCUAAGACCCACCGGUGUAAACCAGGGAUCUUCGGACCUUUCGCGAUUUAAUGAUGCGAUGUCGGAUUUGCUUGUUGGCGGGGUAAAGGUCCACCAAGGCGACGAUCCGUAGCUGGUCUGAGAGGAUGAUCAGCCACACUGGAACUGAGACACGGUCCAGACUCCUACGGGAGGCAGCAGUGGGGAAUAUUGGACAAUGGGCGCAAGCCUGAUCCAGCCAUACCGCGUGGGUGAAGAAGGCCUUCGGGUUGUAAAGCCCUUUUGUUGGGAAAGAAAAGCAGCAGGUUAAUACCCCGCUGUUCUGACGGUACCCAAAGAAUAAGCACCGGCUAACUUCGUG
This 491-nucleotide ribosomal RNA is filed under the name uncultured bacterium. RNAcentral's name for it is "partial 16S ribosomal RNA". It matches the Rfam family "Bacterial small subunit ribosomal RNA", at positions 29 to 507 of the family's 1533-position model. The record is from RNAcentral.